Molecule: ribosomal RNA, 756 nt
Filed under: Triticum aestivum (bread wheat)
Lineage: Eukaryota; Viridiplantae; Streptophyta; Magnoliopsida; Poales; Poaceae
Description: partial small subunit ribosomal RNA
Source: RNAcentral
AUGGCCGAAUGCUUCAAUAGGGUGCUCAAAGGUGCACGUGGAUUACUCGUGACGGCAAUAGUUCAAUACACAUUUGACAAGAUGAAUGCGUACUUUGUAAAGUACUCAAUGGAAAUGGAUGCACAGAUAGCGGGUGAGAACCCGCGCAAGUACAAGUACAAGUUCCCACCCAAGGUUGAUGAAUGGUUGGUAUUUCAAUCACGGAAGGCGGACUCAGAAGAAGCUAUAUUAUAUGACAACGAAGAGUGGAAGUACGAAGUGAAAGAGCCAGGAGGAACCACAAACGAUGGCCGGCAACAUGGAGGUCGGGCUUUCAAGGUGUCGUUAACACAAUGUGAUUGCACUUGUGGGAGGCCAUUGUUCCUUCAUCUCCCAUACUCACACUUGUAUACCGCCGGUCGCGUUAGGAAUGUGGACAUCAAUCACCCACGCACCGUGAGGGAGUCGGAGUUCUCAAUCAUGACGGUCAAGAAAACAUGGGCUCCCCGCUUUCACCCGUACUUUGACCAAUCACAAUGGCCAGAGUAUCAUGGAGUUCAACUAUGGCCAGAUCCGGAGUUGAAGGUUGUUAAACGGGGUAGACGUAAGACAAAGCGUCUUAGAGGCGACAUGGACGGAUGGGGCCAUGGUGGCCACCGCGAAGCGGGCAACGACCAAUUCCAAGAGCCUCGUGAGAGCUCCCGUUGUGGGGAGUGCAAAGGUCAUGGCCACAACAAAAGAAAAUGUACGAAACCAAGGAAAAGGUCCAAAAAAUGA